UCCUACGGGACGCAGCAGUGGGGAAUAUUGCACAAUGGGGGAAACCCUGAUGCAGCAACGCCGCGUGAGUGAAGAAGUAUUUCGGUAUGUAAAGCUCUAUCAGCAGGGAAGAAGAUGACGGUACCUGAGUAAGAAGCCCCGGCUAACUACGUGCCAGCAGCCGCGGUAAUACGUAGGGGGCAAGCGUUAUCCGGAUUUACUGGGUGUAAAGGGAGCGUAGACGGCUGCGCAAGUCUGAAGUGAAAGCCCGGGGCUCAACCCCGGGACUGCUUUGGAAACUGUGUAGCUAGAGUGCUGGAGAGGCA
Molecule: ribosomal RNA, 305 nt
Filed under: uncultured bacterium
Lineage: Bacteria
Description: bacterial SSU rRNA
Rfam family: Bacterial small subunit ribosomal RNA
Source: RNAcentral